GGGGAAUUUUGGACAAUGGGCGAAAGCCUGAUCCAGCAAUGCCGCGUGCAGGAAGAAGGCCUUCGGGUUGUAAACUGCUUUUGUACGGAACGAAAAGGCCAGCCCUAAUACGGCAGGCCCAUGACGGUACCGUAAGAAUAAGCACCGGCUAACUACGUGCCAGCAGCCGCGGUAAUACGUAGGGUGCGAGCGUUAAUCGGAAUUACUGGGCGUAAAGCGUGCGCAGGCGGUGAUGUAAGACAGUUGUGAAAUCCCCGGGCUCAACCUGGGAAUUGCAUCUGUGACUGCAUCGCUAGAGUACGGUAGAGGGGGAUGGAAUUCCGCGUGUAGCAGUGAAAUGCGUAGAUAUGCGGAGGAACACCGAUGGCGAAGGCAAUCCCCUGGACCUGUACUGACGCUCAUGCACGAAAGCGUGGGGAGCAAACAGGAUUAGAUACCCUGGUAGUCCACGCCCUAAACGAUGUCAACUGGUUGUUGGGUGCAUUAGUACUCAGUAACGAAGCUAACGCGUGAAGUUGACCGCCUGGGGAGUACGGCCGCAAGGUUG
RNAcentral lists this ribosomal RNA (547 nucleotides) under uncultured bacterium. RNAcentral's name for it is "bacterial SSU rRNA". It matches the Rfam family "Bacterial small subunit ribosomal RNA", at positions 356 to 896 of the family's 1533-position model. The record is from RNAcentral.